RNAcentral lists this ribosomal RNA (541 nucleotides) under uncultured bacterium. RNAcentral's name for it is "bacterial SSU rRNA". It matches the Rfam family "Bacterial small subunit ribosomal RNA", at positions 779 to 1319 of the family's 1533-position model. The record is from RNAcentral.
AAGAUACCCAGGUAGUCCAUGCCGUAAACGUUGGGAACUAGAUGUGGGGACCAUUCCACGGUCUCCGUGUCGCAGCUAACGCAUUAAGUUCCCCGCCUGGGGAGUACGGCCGCAAGGCUAAAACUCAAAGGAAUUGACGGGGGGCCCGCACAAGCGGCGGAGCAUGCGGAUUAAUUCGAUGCAACGCGAAGAACCUUACCAAGGCUUGACAUAUACCGGAAAAGGCUGGAAACAGUCUCCCCGCAAGGUCGGUAUACAGGUGGUGCAUGGUUGUCGUCAGCUCGUGUCGUGAGAUGUUGGGUUAAGUCCCGCAACGAGCGCAACCCUCGUCGUAUGUUGCCAGCACGUAAUGGUGGGAACUCAUAUGAGACUGCCGGGGUCAACUCGGAGGAAGGUGGGGAUGAGGUCAAAUCAUCAUGCCCCUUAUGUCUUGGGCUUCACGCAUGCUACAAUGGCCGGUACAAAGGGCUGCAAUACCGCGAGGUGGAGCGAAUCCCAAAAAGCCGGUCUCAGUUCGGAUUGAGGUCUGCAACUCGACCCC